CAGCCAGCGCCCCUAUUUUUCCUGCAGCACCCUGAUCUGCACUCCCUGAGGGGCUCCCACUGUCCGCGGUGUGAGGAUGUCCCUGGAUAGUCCACUGUGUGCAGAGGCAUGGGAGUUGUCAUGUCGAGAACAUGCUAGACCUCAGUGUCCUUGAGGGAUGCCGCCUUGGGUCUGGAAAUUGUUAGAGGAAACCCCAAGAGGUGCAGGCACUGAGCCUCUCAGGACAAUGACCUGGGGUCCCAGCUCCCCUGGAGGGGCCUCCUCAUGGUAAGUGAAUGCCAAGAGGUUAAGUUGGCCUGUGUUUCCAAGGUGGAAAUUCCAGGUCGCUGGCUUCAUUUGUCUUCUCUUUUAGAUUGUUUGGGGCUUGAUCACAGACCAAGAGUGACGAGUGAUGUCACCCUGUGACUCAUGGCCGGACCUUCUUGCCCCUAUUGUCUCAGCACAACAUUAUUUGACUUUUCCCUCAGCGUGGGUGGGCAGAGGAAAAGCCCUGUGGCUCUGGGGACUUGGGAUCCGGAGUUGAAGACCCUUCAGCUGGCUCUGCCCUGCCAGUGCCACAGAGUGCCAUGGCCCAGGAAGACAGGUUUUCUUCCAUCUAGGCCAGGCCAUCCAGUGGCCAUCCUCCGUGUCCUCCCGCCUCCUCCUGGUGUGACUUCUGAAAACCAAGAAUUUGUUCCUGUUGACUUUUUCUGUGCUAUGGACCAUUGUCCUCUCACCCACUCAAUAAAUCUUGAAACAUGC
This 741-nucleotide small RNA is filed under the name Pan troglodytes (chimpanzee). RNAcentral describes it as "retained intron". Lineage: Eukaryota; Metazoa; Chordata; Mammalia; Primates; Hominidae. The record is from RNAcentral.